ACACGAAGAUCUGAAUUUUAAUAAAAAAUAAAUUAGGAUUUCCAAAAGUAUUUUAACAUUACCUUGUUCUAAGCCAAUCUGCAACAGAUUUCAUUCCGUGUAUGCAACGAAGCAGUGCAAAAAUUGCACAUGGAAAAUAGGGGUGCAGGAAAACGUCGGACUUUUUUUACUCCAACUUCUUCAUUACAGUACAGGAUAAACAACUAGCAAUUCUCCAACUAAAUCUAAAUAACACUACAAAAUUCAUCCACAUCAUGGAAGUAAUAAAAAAAUCUAAGUUAAUGUUAUUAACUUACUUUUAAGUUUCAUCGCCCUCGUCGCUGUACUACAUCCGAUACAUUGCAAAGCCAUUCCUGCAACCCAAUCACUAUGAUGAGGGAAACUGAAUUCAUUGCAAAUUUCGAUCAUGAUUUCAAUAUCUGGAAGGACUGCAGUGGCCUUAGUUCUUUUCUUAUGUUUGGUUUUACUUUUGCACAAAACCAUUAAAAAACAAACCUCUGUAACUGGGAACAAGUUAAUAGACAUUUAACUCAAACAGAAGUUCAGAGGAUUGAAAAAAGAGAUUGGAAGACCUCUUACAAAUGUUCCCCACGCUCAAGUGUAAUAACAUGAAAUAUAUUCAUCUAAUACACAACUUGUUCCAAAUGUCUCUUUCAGCAAUUAUCUGAAAUUAUCAGAUAAAGAGCAAUUCUCACCAACAAUCUUGGUUUCCUAUAGAACAAAUAAGAUGCUAUUCAAACAUUUUUGAAGAAAAUGAAGGUACCAAAUUAAAAUGAAAGAAUUGAUUUCUUGCAUAACUUUCAUGACCUUUUUUGAUUAAACCAUUCCAUGAUUAUUCUGUAACAUCAAGAUUAUGACAAGAAAUGACGCAAUGUAACGAAAUGUUUUGAAUAGAUUUUCCUAGUGUUGAAUCACCACCGACUACGCCACAGAAAACGACGGUGAUUCCUCGAUCUACUGCUAAACCCAGCACGAGUACGUGGCAACAAGGAAAUCGGGUUCAGUUUAUCAGCAACAAUUCUUAUUCAACUGGACGCCAAUCAACAGUCCGUAACUCAGGUUUACCUUUGUUACCAUGCUGGCCCCAGCAACUCACUGCCAUUAUUCUCCUGAUCGUGGUCAACAAGUUGCUGUUAUGAAUUGUUUCGUUACGAGGCCGUACAGUAUCCCUGUUUUUCAAAUCUUAAAUAAUUUAAAUAUUUCAAAUAGCUUCAACUCAGGUUGAACGCAAAGCCCCCGUGCUCACCAAAUGACAGUUUGCAACAAAAACCAAAAAAACAACCGUAAAUCCAUUUUACCUGUUCUUCGUUAUACCCGACAAUUGUUUGUUUGUAAAUAUCACUAUACCUUUGCCGGUAAAUGCUGUAUACAUGCCAGAGAGAAAGA
Long non-coding RNA from Daphnia magna, 1386 nucleotides. RefSeq lists it as uncharacterized. Lineage: Eukaryota; Metazoa; Arthropoda; Branchiopoda; Diplostraca; Daphniidae. The record is from RefSeq and is a predicted model, not a curated record. The transcript has 4 exons.